This 473-nucleotide ribosomal RNA is filed under the name uncultured bacterium. Its description in RNAcentral is "bacterial SSU rRNA". It matches the Rfam family "Bacterial small subunit ribosomal RNA", at positions 36 to 507 of the family's 1533-position model. The record is from RNAcentral.
CUGGCGGCGUGCCUAAUACAUGCAAGUCGAGCGGACCCUUCGGGGUUAGCGGCGGACGGGUGAGUAACACGUGGGUAAUCUGCCCAACUGACUGGAAUAACGCCUGGAAACGGGUGCUAAUGCCGGAUAGGCAACUGGUAGGCAUCUACCGGUUGGGAAAGGUGCAACUGCACCGCAGAUGGAGGAGCCCGCGGCGCAUUAGCUAGUUGGUGGGGUAACGGCUCACCAAGGCAACGAUGCGUAGCCGACCUGAGAGGGUGACCGGCCACACUGGGACUGAGACACGGCCCAGACUCCUACGGGAGGCAGCAGUAGGGAAUCUUCCACAAUGGGCGCAAGCCUGAUGGAGCAACGCCGCGUGAGUGAAGACGGCCUUCGGGUUGUAAAGCUCAGUCACUCGGGAAGAGCGGACGAGGGAGUGGAAAGCCCUCGUCGAGACGGUACCGAGAGAGGAAGCCCCGGCUAACUACGUG